This is a non-coding RNA of Pseudogymnoascus pannorum, 56 nucleotides long. The record is from Rfam. NCBI's taxonomy places the organism in Eukaryota, Fungi, Ascomycota, Leotiomycetes, Thelebolales, Thelebolaceae.
UGGUAAACCCGGCGUCUUCCAAACGCUUUAUGUCGAUUCGAAUUCGGCUAGCCGCA